GAUGAAGAACGUAGCGAAAUGCGAUAAGUAAUGUGAAUUGCAGAAUUCAGUGAAUCAUCGAAUCUUUGAACGCACCUUGCGCCUUUUGGUAUUCCGAAAGGCACACCUGUUUGAGCGUCAUGAAUACCUCAAUCUCCAUCUUUUCUUCGGAUUGAUGGGUGACUUGGAUGUUGAGCCCUGCUGGUAUGCUAUAUCAGCUGGCUUUAAACUUAUUAGCCGGAUCUGUACUGGAUCGGUUUGACUCGACGUGAUAAUAUUAUCGUUGAGGAUGCAUGUCUCAUGCAGCCGGAAAGUAUCAAAGCAGCUUCUAGCUUGCCUUUAGUGCACUUUUACAUUUUAGACCUCGGAUCAGGUGGGACUACCCGCUGAACUUAAGCAUAUCAAUAAGCGGAGGA
This 395-nucleotide unclassified non-coding RNA is filed under the name soil metagenome. Its description in RNAcentral is "partial contains 5.8S ribosomal RNA, internal transcribed spacer 2, and large subunit ribosomal RNA". The stretch from base 1 to 120 matches the Rfam family "5.8S ribosomal RNA", at positions 35 to 154 of the family's 154-position model. The record is from RNAcentral.